UAGCCAUGAUAUGGACAAGAAUUUGUGAGGUCCUUGAACCUCUCCCAGCAUUGAAAGAAGGUUUCUUCCUCUUUUUAGGCAAAUUUUGUGAUUGCUUUUCUUAAAGUAU
Molecule: small nucleolar RNA, 109 nt
Organism: Magnolia sinica
Lineage: Eukaryota; Viridiplantae; Streptophyta; Magnoliopsida; Magnoliales; Magnoliaceae
Source: RefSeq, a predicted model, not a curated record